This 492-nucleotide ribosomal RNA is filed under the name uncultured bacterium. RNAcentral describes it as "partial 16S ribosomal RNA". It matches the Rfam family "Bacterial small subunit ribosomal RNA", at positions 29 to 507 of the family's 1533-position model. The record is from RNAcentral.
AGUGAACGCUGGCGGUAGGCCUAACACAUGCAAGUCGAACGGCAGCACAGUAAGAGCUUGCUCUUACGGGUGGCGAGUGGCGGACGGGUGAGGAAUACAUCGGAAUCUACUUUUUCGUGGGGGAUAACGUAGGGAAACUUACGCUAAUACCGCAUACGACCUACGGGUGAAAGCAGGGGAUCUUCGGACCUUGCGCGAUUGAAUGAGCCGAUGUCGGAUUAGCUAGUUGGCGGGGUAAAGGCCCACCAAGGCGACGAUCCGUAGCUGGUCUGAGAGGAUGGUCAGCCACACUGGAACUGAGCCACGGUCCAGACUCCUACGGGAGGCAGCAGUGGGGAAUAUUGGACAAUAGGCGCAAGCCUGAUCCAGCCAUACCGCGUGGGUGAAGAAGGCCUUCGGGUUGUAAAGCCCUUUUGUUGGGAAAGAAAAGCAGCAGGUUAAUACCCCGCUGUUCUGACGGUACCCAAAGAAUAAGCACCGGCUAACUUCGUG